RNAcentral lists this RNase P RNA (431 nucleotides) under Alphaproteobacteria bacterium. RNAcentral's name for it is "RNase P RNA component class A". It matches the Rfam family "Bacterial RNase P class A". Rfam says of the family: Ribonuclease P (RNase P) is a ubiquitous endoribonuclease, found in archaea, bacteria and eukarya as well as chloroplasts and mitochondria. Its best characterised activity is the generation of mature 5'-ends of tRNAs by cleaving the 5'-leader elements of precursor-tRNAs. Lineage: Bacteria; Pseudomonadati; Pseudomonadota; Alphaproteobacteria. The record is from RNAcentral.
CCAGACGGCCGGAUGGCCGCUGCCGCCGGCGUUCGCCACGGGCAGAGGAAAGUCCGGGCUCCACGGAGACAGGGUGCCGGCUAACCGCCGGCGGGGGCGACCCCAGGGAAAGUGCCACAGAAAACAAACCGCCCUGCCGCUGCCAAACGGGCCGGCGGCUGGGGCAAGGGUGAAACGGUGCGGUAAGAGCGCACCGCGCUGCCGGUAACGGCGGCGGCAGGGCAAACCCCACCCGGAGCAAGACCAGAUAGGGGCGGCGCGCCGGCCCGGCGACGGCAGUCGCCGGCCGGCAGGCGGGUUUCCGGGCCGAGCCGCGCGGGUAGGUUGCUAGAGGCGUCCGGCAACGGGCGUCCCAGAGGAAUGGUCAUCCAGCACCCGCGAACGCGGCCGUGGGUGCACGACAGAACCCGGCUUACAGGCCGUCUGGUGCC